RNAcentral lists this ribosomal RNA (446 nucleotides) under uncultured bacterium. Its description in RNAcentral is "partial 16S ribosomal RNA". It matches the Rfam family "Bacterial small subunit ribosomal RNA", at positions 338 to 795 of the family's 1533-position model. The record is from RNAcentral.
CCUACGGGUGACAGCAGUCGAGAAUCAUUCACAAUGGGGGAAACCCUGAUGGUGCGACGCCGCGUGGGGGAAUGAAGGUCUUCGGAUUGUAAACCCCUGUCAUGUGGGAGCAAAUUAAAAAGAUAGUACCACAAGAGGAAGAGACGGCUAACUCUGUGCCAGCAGCCGCGGUAAUACAGAGGGCUCAAGCGUUGUUCGGAAUCACUGGGCGUAAAGGGUUCGGAGGCUGUUUCGUAAGUCGUGUGUGAAAGGCGCGGGCUCAACCCGCGGACGGCACAUGAUACUGCGAGACUAGAGUAAUGGAGGGGGAACCGGAAUUCUCGGUGUAGCAGUGAAAUGCGUAGAUAUCGAGAGGAACACUCGUGGCGAAGGCGGGUUCCUGGACAUUAACUGACGCUGAGGCACGAAGGCCAGGGGAGCGAAAGGGAUUAGAUACCCUAGUAGUC